UACGUAGGGUGCGAGCGUUGUCCGGAAUUAUUGGGCGUAAAGAGCUUGUAGGCGGUCUGUCGCGUCUGCUGUGAAAAUCCGGGACUCAACCCCGGACUUGCAGUGGGUACGGGCAGACUAGAGUGUGGUAGGGGAGACUGGAAUUCCUGGUGUAGCGGUGAAAUGCGCAGAUAUCAGGAGGAACACCGAUGGCGAAGGCAGGUCUCUGGGCCACUACUGACGCUGAGAAGCGAAAGCAUGGGGAGCAAACAGG
Molecule: ribosomal RNA, 253 nt
Filed under: uncultured bacterium
Lineage: Bacteria
Description: partial 16S ribosomal RNA
Rfam family: Bacterial small subunit ribosomal RNA
Source: RNAcentral